Molecule: transfer RNA, 44 nt
Filed under: Simulium nigrogilvum
Lineage: Eukaryota; Metazoa; Arthropoda; Insecta; Diptera; Simuliidae
Description: partial tRNA-Leu
Source: RNAcentral
AUGGAUUUAAGCUUCAUAUAUAAAGGAAUCCCCUUUUAUUAGAA